RNA transcript from Cucurbita moschata (crookneck pumpkin), 1799 nucleotides. It is a transcript of the gene named transcription factor BIM2, with no coding region annotated. The transcript is spliced from 7 exons. Lineage: Eukaryota; Viridiplantae; Streptophyta; Magnoliopsida; Cucurbitales; Cucurbitaceae. The record is from RefSeq and is a predicted model, not a curated record.
AGCAUGCGCGCAGCUGUAUGGGAUUCUUGACGGAUGCUUCCCUCUGAAACUCGCUCGUGUUCGGCAGCUGGCAAAUCCGGCGGUCUAAAGCGCCCCCACGGCGGUUCCGUUCACUGAUAACCGCCUAGAGGCGGCGGCGGCUGUCCUGCUCUGCCAUUGAUGUUAUAUCUUCCUUUGGUUAACAUCAAAUCUCAGCCAAGUUUCACAGCCUUCUGUACUCUUUUCGUUCGGGGUUCUCAAAUAAAAUCGCACUUCGAUUUUGGUGCUUGGCAGCGUCUUCGAAUUGGUGCAAUUCCGUAAUCUUUCUGUUUGUGGAGCUGUACAGGGAGUUGAAGUGUCGGUAGAGAAGGAUUGGAGGCGUGGACCGGCCAAUCUGAAUAAAAUCCAAGUAUGAGAACGGGGAAAAGCAAUCAGGAAGAUGAAGAGUAUGAGGACGACGAGAUGGUUGCUAAACGAGAGGGGCCUUCUUCUACUUCCAACGCUAAUAGUAGCAUCGGAAAUAGCAAAGAUGCGAAGAACAACGAUAGGGCUAAUGCCAUACGGUCGAAGCACUCUGUCACCGAGCAGCGUAGAAGAAGCAAGAUAAAUGAGAGAUUCCAGAUUUUGAGAGAUCUUAUACCUCACAGCGAUCAGAAGAGAGAUACCGCGUCAUUUUUAUUGGAGGUGAUCGAGUAUGUUCAGUAUUUACAGGAGAAGGUGCAGAAGUACGAGGGUUCUUAUCAGAAUUGGAGUGGGGAGCCUACUAAGCUAAUACCAUGGAGAAAUACUCAUUGGCGUAUGCAGACUUUUGUUGGUCAUCCACAGUCUGUAAAAAAUGGUUCUGCUUCAGGACCAACGUAUUCAGGGAAGUUUGAUGACAACAACAUUUCAAUUUCCCCAGCCAUGCUUGCAAGCUCACAAAAUCCCCUCGACUCCCAUUCAGGCAGAGAUGUUCUGCAGGAUGCUGACAUAACAAAUAAAGUUCCACUUCCCAUGUCUCUGGAAGGAAAUAUACAUGCUUCUAUCCGUAGUGACGGUGUUCUAGAUCAAUCUCUCCAGAUUCCAAUUUCCGGUGGACAGGCAACGGAGUGUCCCAUCGCCAACAAUGCAUCAAGCCAACCAGAAGAGAUGGCUAUUGAAGGGGGUACAAUAAGCAUUUCAAGUCUUUAUUCAGAAGGGUCAGUUCAUAUAGGAUGUCUGAAUAGUUGCUUUUGGAGGCGUUCAUUUGCAUGGUCUCUUCCUAGGAUUUGGUAACAGCUCCGGAACUUGGUGCUAAGCAGGUUAUUGAACAGCUUGACUCAAGCUCUGCAGAAUACUGGACUGGAUUUGUCACAGGCUAGUGUCUCCAUUCAGGUUGAUCUUGGAAAGAGAGCAAAUAAAGGUCCCCCAUUUGGAAUGCCCAUUUUUAAGGAAACUGGCAACCCUUCCUCCUCCGGCCACCCUGCAAUGGCACACGUAGGGGACCUGGGUAGUGGAGAUGACUCAGAACAAGUGAAAAAGCGGCUAAGAACAUGACGAUCUGGCAACUCGAGUCCCCGGUUUAUUACACCGCACAGUUACUGUUUUUAUUGUGAAUCUCUGAAUGUGAUGUCUAUUGUACAGAUCCUCUUUUCUUUAUCUUGCUUGGCAUUUUACACAAUUUCUUCAAGCUCAUAUUGCUAUAACCAUCAGUGUUAGGAAAUCCAAGUUAAAAUUUGGUACUCAGUUCCAAAUUCUCCAGUUUCCAUCGCUCUGUAUUCUAUGUUUGUAGUUGUAUCACAAUAUAAAUGGGAACCUCUCAAACAGAGCUUUAAAGAGGGCGUUUUAUUUCCACUUUACUA